This 1240-nucleotide ribosomal RNA is filed under the name Niphargus castellanus. RNAcentral describes it as "partial large subunit ribosomal RNA". It matches the Rfam family "Eukaryotic large subunit ribosomal RNA", at positions 1357 to 2171 of the family's 3401-position model. Lineage: Eukaryota; Metazoa; Arthropoda; Malacostraca; Amphipoda; Niphargidae. The record is from RNAcentral.
AAGGCUUCAGUACGACCCAGUCAGAACUAUAAGUCUCAAAGCCCCGACGAGUAGGGUGGCGUGCCGGUGCGCGUUGAAGGCCAAGACGUGAGUCAGGCUGGAGCCGCCGGUAGUGCAGAUCUUGGUGGUAGUAGCAAGUACUCUGGUGAACCAACCUGGAGCUGUGAGGUCUGGAUCAGGGUUCCAUGUCAACAGUGAUUGAACAUGGGUGAGUCGAUCCUAAGCCAACUGUGAAAGCAGUGACAUCCCUACAAAGGGGCACUGUACUUGCACCCCCGAUGCAAAGCUCUCGAGUAUCUCUCUCAGGCGCACACACUGUGAUCACUAAGGAGUGUGAGUGUGUGCGCUGAUCUCUGGUUACGCUCAUAAGCGUUGAAAUGCUGCUGCUGCUGUUCUCUGUGUCUGGAUUGCUAAAACUCAAGAGAGAGAGAAAGAGAGUGUUGGGUGAGCGCAAGUCGAAUUAGUCCCCUGCGUCUGGUUCUAUGUCUGGCGAAAGGGAAUGGGGACUUUGUUCCUUGACCGGUCCCGGCACCCUCGAUUGGCUUUGCCAAUUAAUGGUCCAUGCAAAUGGAACCAGGCCACAGCCGCCGGCAGUCGCCCGAGGAAGAGUUUUCUUUUCUGCUUAACGCACGAGGUCAUCCCUGGAAACAGUUCGGCUGGCGAAAGGGUGCCCCGUUGCGGCAGAGCGCCACGACUGUCGUGCGCGUCUCGGUGUUCCUGCCGGUCCGUGAAGACGUGGUCGAGGGGAUUGCUCUUGUAUCAACGAAACGCCCGACAAGUUCGGGACGGACCGUACCCUAUAUCCGCAUCUGGUCUCCAAGGUUCGUAGCCUCUGCAGAGUCAGACACAUGUAGGUAAGGGAAGUCGGCAAACUCGAUCCGUAACUUCGGGAAAAGGAUUGGCUCUGAGGGCCGAGCUGGGCCGGGCCUUGCCUGCAAAGCAGUACCUAUAGUGACCGGAGUUUCAGGAGUGCGAGGGGCUCUAGUAGCUGCUUGUGCGUGUGUGCGUUCGCGCGUGCGCGCGUGUGGGCACGAACGAGUCCACCGCUCCGCUCCAACCACGAACGGCUGUGACGGCAAGGGCUCUGGGCGGGAGCGAUCAAUCCGUUGGCCCCAGCUCGUCUGGGUGGCGGCGGUGCUCCGUCUGACCCAUACGGCUCCAGCGGCUAGCGGCUAACUCAGAACUGUCAUGGACCAAGGGAAUCCGACUGUCUAAUAAAACAAAGCGUCGUGACGGCCCC